UACGUAGGCAGCAAGCGUUGUUCGGAGUUACUGGGCGUAAAGGGUGUGUAGGCGGUUCUUUUAAGUUUGGUGUGAAAUCUCCCGGCUCAACCGGGAGGGUGCGCCGAAUACUGAGGGACUAGAGUACGGGAGAGGAAAGUGGAAUUCCUGGUGUAGCGGUGAAAUGCGUAGAUAUCAGGAGGAACACCGGUGGUGUAGACGGCUUUCUGGACCGUAACUGACGCUGAGACACGAAAGCGUGGGUAGCAAACAGG
This 254-nucleotide ribosomal RNA is filed under the name uncultured bacterium. RNAcentral's name for it is "partial 16S ribosomal RNA". It matches the Rfam family "Bacterial small subunit ribosomal RNA", at positions 524 to 776 of the family's 1533-position model. The record is from RNAcentral.